Molecule: ribosomal RNA, 207 nt
Filed under: uncultured bacterium
Lineage: Bacteria
Description: partial 16S ribosomal RNA
Rfam family: Bacterial small subunit ribosomal RNA
Source: RNAcentral
UAGGUAGGUGGUCUUAUUUGUCUGGGGUGAAAGCCUUGAGCUUAACUCAAGAAGUGCCUCAGAAACGGUGAGACUGGAGUCCUGGAGAGGGUCGUGGAAUUCCCGGUGUAGCGGUGAAAUGCGUAGAGAUCGGGAGGAACACCAGAGGCGAAAGCGGCGACCUGGACAGGUACUGACACUCAACUACGAAAGCGUGGGGAGCAAACA